Molecule: ribosomal RNA, 492 nt
Filed under: uncultured bacterium
Lineage: Bacteria
Description: partial 16S ribosomal RNA
Rfam family: Bacterial small subunit ribosomal RNA
Source: RNAcentral
AGUGAACGCUGGCGGUAGGCCUAACACAUGCAAGUCGAACGGCAGCACAGUAAGAGCUUGCUCUUACGGGUGGCGAGUGGCGGACGGGUGAGGAAUACAUCGGAAUCUACUUUUUCGUGGGGGAUAACGUAGGGAAACUUACGCUAAUACCGCAUACGACCUACGGGUGAAAGCAGGGGAUCUUCGGACCUUGCGCGAUUGAAUGAGCCGAUGUCGGAUUAGCUAAUUGGCGGGGUAAAGGCCCACCAAGGCGACGAUCCGUAGCUGGUCUGAGAGGAUGAUCAGCCACACUGGAACUGAGACACGGUCCAGACUCCUACGGGAGGCAGCAGUGGGGAAUAUUGGACAAUGGGCGCAAGCCUGAUCCAGCCAUACCGCGUGGGUGAAAAAGGCCUUCGGGUUGUAAAGCCCUUUUGUUGGGAAAGAAAAGCAGCAGGUUAAUACCCCGCUGUCCUGACGGUACCCAAAGAAUAAGCACCGGCUAACUUCGUG